This 74-nucleotide transfer RNA is filed under the name Clostridium sp. RNAcentral describes it as "tRNA-Cys". It matches the Rfam family "tRNA". Rfam says of the family: Transfer RNA (tRNA) molecules are approximately 80 nucleotides in length. Their secondary structure includes four short double-helical elements and three loops (D, anti-codon, and T loops). RNAcentral also lists the same sequence under 6 other names. The record is from RNAcentral. Lineage: Bacteria; Bacillati; Bacillota; Clostridia; Eubacteriales; Clostridiaceae.
GGCAUCAUAGCCAAGCGGUAAGGCAGAGGCCUGCAAAGCCUUCAUCCCCGGUUCGAUUCCGGGUGAUGCCUCCA